GAUCCUGGCUCAGGAUGAACGCUAGCUACAGGCUUAACACAUGCAAGUCGAGGGGAAACGAUAUUGGAAGCUUGCUUCCGAUAGGCGUCGACCGGCGCACGGGUGAGUAACGCGUAUCCAACCUGCCCACCACUUGGGGAUAACCUUGCGAAAGUAAGACUAAUACCCGAUGAUAUCUCUAGACGACAUCUGAAAGGGAUUAAAGAUUUAUCGGUGAUGGAUGGGGAUGCGUCUGAUUAGCUUGUUGGCGGGGCAACGGCCCACCAAGGCAACGAUCAGUAGGGGUUCUGAGAGGAAGGUCCCCCACAUUGGAACUGAGACACGGUCCAAACUCCUACGGGAGGCAGCAGUGAGGAAUAUUGGUCAAUGGGCGAGAGCCUGAACCAGCCAAGUAGCGUGCAGGACGACGGCCCUAUGGGUUGUAAACUGCUUUUAUAAGGGAAUAAAGUGAGUCUCGUGAGGCUUUUUGCAUGUACCUUAUGAAUAAGGACCGGCUAAUUCCGUG
Molecule: ribosomal RNA, 505 nt
Filed under: uncultured bacterium
Lineage: Bacteria
Description: bacterial SSU rRNA
Rfam family: Bacterial small subunit ribosomal RNA
Source: RNAcentral